GUCAUUGAUCAUGUUCGUUUGAAAAGUAUGGUUUUGGAAAAUCUAUUCUGCAAGAACGAAUUUUUCAAAAUGGAAGAGAUUUAAAAUGAGUAUAGUUAGAAGUUUUUUAAGUUUAACUUUCAAAUGAUGAGCAGUUCUCGAGCUUGUCAUGUUCUUCUGACGUACAACGUCCUCGAGGGGAUCAAUCAAGCCAAUAAUUUCCUGUGAAAGUAUUUACUGAAGGGAGACUAUCCCCAGCCUUACUCCGAUGUUCCAGCAUAUCAAGAUAUUUCUGAACCUACGAACAAGGAAAAAGGGUAUCCUAUUUUGAAACAGUAAAUUAGUUUUGACCAACAAGUUACAAAUUACUUGUACUAUUGCAUAACUGAACUAAUGAGAGGUAUGAAAUAGUGGUAUUAGGAAUCCUUACUCUGACAAGGACAUAUACUGUCACAGAUCCACAGAAUAUCUAUUAGGAGAGACUACACAGAAUAAGCUUCAACAAGUUUGAUCGAGAGAUGAACACGUGGGGACCUGAUAGAGAUUUACAAAAUACCACUUAGACGUUAUAGCAUUAGACUCAACCUCUUUGUUUUCAGUGAUAAUAAAUAUGUAGACACAGUAAUAAACUCGUGCAGGAAAAGUUCCAAAUGGUGUCGUCAACAUAUUUUCUGAAACACAAUGGAAUGAUCUUUCAAAACAAUGUAAUUUCAGCACCAUAUACUAUUACGUUUUAAAAGUCGAUAUGACAUGCAUAUACUCAAAAGUUAAACUGGUUAAGACAAUUCAUAAGAGCGCCUAUGAUGUACCAAUUUAUGGUUAUUCUGUAUGUAUCUUUUUUCUCAGUUUUUUUAAAAUGUAGUAUGUAAUGUACAAUGUGUAAACAUGAUGUAAUUCAAUCUGCUAGG
Long non-coding RNA from Leptinotarsa decemlineata (Colorado potato beetle), 887 nucleotides. Lineage: Eukaryota; Metazoa; Arthropoda; Insecta; Coleoptera; Chrysomelidae. The record is from RefSeq and is a predicted model, not a curated record.